RNAcentral lists this ribosomal RNA (116 nucleotides) under Trachymyrmex septentrionalis. Lineage: Eukaryota; Metazoa; Arthropoda; Insecta; Hymenoptera; Formicidae. The record is from RNAcentral.
UAAUAGAUACAUACAUAUAUACCAGUUCUCGUCUGAUCACUGAAGUCAAGCAAUGUUGAGCUUGGUUAGUACUUAGAUGGGUAUGACCGCCUUGGAAAAUUAUGUAAUUAUGUUGU